GGGGUUGUGGCUCAGAGGUAGAGCACUCACUUAUCAUGUGGGAAGCACUGGGUUUGAUCCUCAGCACCA
RNAcentral lists this transfer RNA (69 nucleotides) under Ictidomys tridecemlineatus (thirteen-lined ground squirrel). RNAcentral's name for it is "Spermophilus tridecemlineatus (thirteen-lined ground squirrel) tRNA". It matches the Rfam family "tRNA". From Rfam's summary of the family: Transfer RNA (tRNA) molecules are approximately 80 nucleotides in length. Their secondary structure includes four short double-helical elements and three loops (D, anti-codon, and T loops). Lineage: Eukaryota; Metazoa; Chordata; Mammalia; Rodentia; Sciuridae. The record is from Rfam by way of RNAcentral.